CUACGGGUUGCUGCAGUGGGGAAUAUUGCACAAUGGGCGCAAGCCUGAUGCAGCCAUGCCGCGUGUAUGAAGAAGGCCUUCGGGUUGUAAAGUACUUUCAGCGGGGAGGAAGGGAGUAAAGUUAAUACCUUUGCUCAUUGACGUUACCCGCAGAAGAAGCACCGGCUAACUCCGUGCCAGCAGCCGCGGUAAUACGGAGGGUGCAAGCGUUAAUCGGAAUUACUGGGCGUAAAGCGCACGCAGGCGGUUUGUUAAGUCAGAUGUGAAAUCCCCGGGCUCAACCUGGGAACUGCAUCUGAUACUGGCAAGCUUGAGUCUCGUAGAGGGGGGUAGAAUUCCAGGUGUAGCGGUGAAAUGCGUAGAGAUCUGGAGGAAUACCGGUGGCGAAGGCGGCCCCCUGGACGAAGACUAACGCUCAGGUGCGAAAGCGUGGGGAGCAAACAGGAUUAGAUACCCGUGUAGUC
This 464-nucleotide ribosomal RNA is filed under the name uncultured bacterium. RNAcentral's name for it is "partial 16S ribosomal RNA". It matches the Rfam family "Bacterial small subunit ribosomal RNA", at positions 339 to 795 of the family's 1533-position model. The record is from RNAcentral.